Molecule: non-coding RNA, 29 nt
Filed under: Mus musculus (house mouse)
Lineage: Eukaryota; Metazoa; Chordata; Mammalia; Rodentia; Muridae
Source: RNAcentral
UGAAUAAGAUACCAAGGACCCGGAAGCAC